AUAAUAUGUAAAAUUAAAUAAUAAAUAUAUCAUUAACCUAUAAAUUAGAAGUUGAAGAGCUUUUAUUAAUUAUUUAAUAGACACAUGGCAAAUACUAAAGUGAUGAUGUGUCAAUCAUAUGGAGAGAGUUGGCCAACUUUCAUAUAUAUGAUUUGGCAAAAGAUCUCAAAAUCUAGAUUCUCUAUUUUUGUAGGGAAACAAUUUUUUUCAUAAUCUUCAAAGGGUUUAAAAAGCAAUUUUGGAAGAAUUAAAACCACUUUGAAAACCACAACUAUUCAAAACCAUAAUUUCCUUGGAAAAAUAAAGAUUUUCAUAAAAACCUCAAAAC
This 328-nucleotide small RNA is filed under the name Arabidopsis thaliana (thale cress). RNAcentral's name for it is "ATSL080530". The record is from RNAcentral. Lineage: Eukaryota; Viridiplantae; Streptophyta; Magnoliopsida; Brassicales; Brassicaceae.